RNAcentral lists this long non-coding RNA (1116 nucleotides) under Marmota marmota marmota (Alpine marmot). RNAcentral describes it as "lncRNA (ENSMMMG00000010707.1)". Lineage: Eukaryota; Metazoa; Chordata; Mammalia; Rodentia; Sciuridae. The record is from RNAcentral.
GCGAUGCCCACAGAGGGGGCAAAGAGGGUCCUGAUGCCCCCGCCUCCCUUCCCAGGCCCCCGGCAGGACGCGGAGGCGGCCAAGAGGUUCAUCCUGGACAUGUACACGGGCAUGUACACCAGCUGUGUGGACGGCCCCGAGGGCAGCAAGCGAGGCCCCCGCUCCCGCCGCCUCUUCAGCCACUACACGUGCGCCACCGACACGCAGAACAUCCGCAAGGUCUUCAAGGACGUGCGGGACUCGGUGCUGGCCGGCUACCUGGACGAGAUCAACCUGCUGUGACCAGGCCCCCGGCAGGCGGCGGGCAGUGGAGAUGGACCCCAAAUGCCCAUCGCUCCAGCCCAGGGCCACUGCCCCCUCUCUCCUCUGCCCCUCACCUGGUCAGCCGUCCCCCGCCGACCUCCUUGACUCCAUUUACGCCCUUGGAAAGGGAGGAACAAAAUGGCCUCUGGGGAUGCCAGAGUGGGGGGAAGGUCAGGCCCUGGGUGGGAGGCUGCGUGGGAGGGCCUCGCCCCGUGUCACUGGGUCACCCUGCCCUGGGAAAGGAGCUGUCCUUCGGGGUGGGCUCUGGCGCCCUCUGGUGGAAGCAGGAGGAAUCCCCGCCGAUGGCGCUAACCCAGGACAGGUGGCCGGGCAGGGGCCUCUGGCGGCCACCACAGAGCCACCUUCCAGAGCCCCCAGGCCCACGGCGUCCUGCCCCGGUGUGCAGAGGAGGAACCCGAGGCCGCAGCGUCCCUCUCCUGCUCCCAACAGCCUCUGUAUUUAUUCCCCCGCGUUCCACCAGGCCCCCUUGUGGGGUAGACAUUAAAGAAAGGACCCUGAGGUCGGGGCUUCCUGGGGGUGUGUCCACAGCCUCCUGCCUUCCCCAUGCCCCCUUCAGCGACCCGCCCGGGUGCCAUGGCGGCAGGGGUCUGGGAAACAGCACGGGAAGCCAGGGAGGGAAGUGCCCCUCGUCCCCCCCACCGCUGCCCCGUCGCUGGUCACCGUGGGCCAGGAGGUGAAGUCCCACCCCACCCACCGCCCAUCACCUGCACCCAGCCCCGUGCCACCCAGCCAGCCCCCACAUGGUCCCCAGGAGCCCUGGAGGGUGGCUGAGCUGGCCCACCUGGUGGCCCU